UACGUAGGGUGCAAGCGUUAAUCGGAAUUACUGGGCGUAAAGCGUGCGCAGGCGGUUUUGUAAGUCUGACGUGAAAUCCCCGGGCUCAACCUGGGAAUUGCGUUGGAGACUGCAAGGCUGGAGUCUGGCAGAGGGGGGUAGAAUUCCACGUGUAGCAGUGAAAUGCGUAGAUAUGCGGAGGAACACCGAUGGCGAAGGCAAUCCCCUGGGCCUGUACUGACGCUCAUGCACGAAAGCGUGGGGAGCAAACAGG
This 253-nucleotide ribosomal RNA is filed under the name uncultured bacterium. Its description in RNAcentral is "partial 16S ribosomal RNA". It matches the Rfam family "Bacterial small subunit ribosomal RNA", at positions 524 to 776 of the family's 1533-position model. The record is from RNAcentral.